RNAcentral lists this non-coding RNA (30 nucleotides) under Mus musculus (house mouse). The record is from RNAcentral. Lineage: Eukaryota; Metazoa; Chordata; Mammalia; Rodentia; Muridae.
UAUCAAAAGGCCUGGUACUUUAAUUGUGGG